ACAAUAAAAUAUCCUUUUACUCCGGUUAUAUUUAUUACUAACUCUCAAUUAAUCUAUCUUAAUUAUUUUCUAACCACUUUCUAUAUUUAUCAGCUAUUUUAUUUCUUCUUGUUAAUCUGCGAAAUCCAUGCAUGUACACUUCCUUGUAUGGUGAUUGAUUGUUCACGAGCUGGUACAUGGUGUUCCGCAAGCAGGGAGCCAUAACCUAUUUUGCAUGUAGACCUUCUUGUUUGAUGAUUACUUGUUUACAAGGCAGCUGUCAUACAUUGUGUUCCACGAACAACGAUCCAUAACCUAUACUUGCACGUACACUUUCUUGUAUGUUGAUCACUUGUUCACAAGGUGUUCGAUAUCUGUAUUAUUCGACAAACAGCACUAUAACAUAUACUACCGCACUACGUUGCCCACUGAAAUCGCUUUAUUCAUUGCUUAUUUCGAUUAUGCGCUAGUUUUAACUUGUUUAAAUGCACCGUUCGCGGAAUCCCUUUUACUUCGAUCUUGACGUUUUGGUUCUGCAAGAUUUCUAGCACUUUGUAUGGUCCAGUAUAUUGAUCGGAGAAUUUUCCUUUACUGGGUUCUUUUAGUAAAUAUAUCGAAUCUCCUAUUUUAAAA
Molecule: long non-coding RNA, 612 nt
Organism: Bombus huntii
Lineage: Eukaryota; Metazoa; Arthropoda; Insecta; Hymenoptera; Apidae
Exons: 4
Source: RefSeq, a predicted model, not a curated record